CGGCGUUUGCUACGCCGCCUGGGGAAUGGCUCGGUUCGGGUGCCGAAGAAGGUCGUGCCAAGCUGCGAUAUGCGUCGGGUAGGCGCAAGGAGCCUAUGAUCCGAUGAUGACCUAAUGCGACUUCGUAUUCUUCGGAAUGUUCCGUAAGGAACGGGAACGCGGGGGAUCGAAACAUCCUAGUACCCGCAGGAAAAGAAAUCACUAGAGAUACCGUGAGUAAAGGCGAUCGAAAACGGUACAGGGCAAACCGAAUCCCCACCAGUAAUGAUGGGGAGAUGUGGUGUUAUGGGCCUGGUUACAUCCCUACGACCAACCAGAGAUCUGCUGGAACGCAGUACCAUAGAGGGUGAUAGUCCCGUAUGGAUAAAUCAAGGGGAUGAGUUCCGGUGUCCCUGAGUAACGUGCGUUGGAUAUCGCGCGUGAAUUUGGGAAACAUUCAUUUCCAACCCUAAAUACACCCCGAGACCGAUAGCGCAGUAGUAGCGUGAGUGAAAGCUGAAAAGUACCCUUGACGGGAGGUUAAAAGAGCCUGAAACCAGGCGGCUAUAAAUUGUAAGGGCAUGCAAGGGAAACCAGUGUCCUUACGUCCGUUUCGAAAAACGGGCCAUGGAGUUCUGUUCAAUGGCGAGGCUAAGAGGAUAAUCCUCGGAGCCGAAGGGAAACCAACAAGUCCGCAGCCGCAAGGCGAGGGACGAGGUGCGCUCGCCUGGAGUCAUUGGAGGGACACCCGAAGCCAGUUGAUCUAUACCUGGGCAGGUUGAAGCCUUUCGAAAGGAAGGUGGAGGACCGAACCGGUAAUGAUGUGCAAAUCUUUCGGAUAACCUGGGUAUAGGGAUGAAAGGUCAAUCAAAGCUGGAAAUAGCUGGUUCCUCCUGAAACUAAUCGCAGUUAGAUCUCGGCGGAGGUAGAUUGUGUGGUAGAGCACUGAUCGGGGGCUUAGGGGGAGAAAUCCCUCGGCCCCCUGUCAAACUCCGAACAUGCGGUCACCGUAGAGGCCGGGAGUGAGGGCAUCCGGGGUAAGCUUGAUGUCCAUCAGGGAACGUAACCCAGCCAAUAAUUAAGGUCCCCAAGUUUCGGUUAAGUGUAACAAUAAAGGGAGUCUGUAGUCCAAGACAACUGGGAGGUGAGCUUAGAAGCAGCCAUCCUUUAAAGAAAGCGUAACAGCUCACCAGUCGAGAUUAUAGGCCCCGAAAAUGGACGGGGCUAAGCCGAACACCGAUAUUAUUGAGCACCGCAAGGUGAUCUGGUAAGGAGGUGACGGGCGUGGGUGGAAGCUAGGCCGUGAGGUCUUGUGGACCGCGUUCGUAUAAGGAUCAUGGCAGGAGUAGCAGCAAAGAACGGUGAGAAUCCGUUCCGCCGUAGGGGCCAGGGUUCCUCGGCAAUGUUCGUCAGCCGAGGGUUAGCCGAUCCUAAACUACCACUUAAUCGGAAGUAGUGAAAGGGAAACAGGUUAAUAUUCCUGUGCCGCGUCAGACUCUGCGUCGUUCUUGACACAUCGGGAUAGGUAGAGCAAUCUUGUCUGGUUGUUCAAGCGUAUAAACUGAGGAAGAACCGUAAUGGUGUGAACUCGGUGAAAGCGCGAGUAGGAGGACGAAAGUCCUCUUCUGCUGAUUCCUGGUGUCCGUGAAAAUUGAACGAUCUACACCUGACGCGUUCGUACCAAGAACCGACACAGGUGCCCCUAGAUGAUAAGUCUAAGGCGUGUCGGCCUAAUCGAUGCGAGGGAACUCGGCAAAUUAGCCCCGUAACUUCGGGAUAAGGGGUGCCAGCCGCGAGAGUGGCUGGUCGCAGUGGCAAGGGAACUCCGACUGUUUAAUAAAAACACAGAUCGCUGCAAGUCCGAAAGGAUGUGUAUAGCGGUUGAAGCCUGCCCAGUGACGGUAUCUGAAACUCGGGUACAACCGAACGAAGGACCGUUAAACGGCGGGGGUAACUAUGACCCUCUUAAGGUAGCGUAAUACCUUGUCGCUUAAUUGGCGACUUGCAUGAAGGCCCAACGAGAG
This 2003-nucleotide ribosomal RNA is filed under the name activated sludge metagenome. Its description in RNAcentral is "bacterial LSU rRNA". It matches the Rfam family "Archaeal large subunit ribosomal RNA", at positions 1 to 2087 of the family's 2987-position model. The record is from RNAcentral.